Molecule: transfer RNA, 71 nt
Filed under: Epilithonimonas arachidiradicis
Lineage: Bacteria; Pseudomonadati; Bacteroidota; Flavobacteriia; Flavobacteriales; Weeksellaceae
Description: Chryseobacterium arachidiradicis tRNA-Thr
Rfam family: tRNA
About the family: Transfer RNA (tRNA) molecules are approximately 80 nucleotides in length.
Source: RNAcentral
GGGGAAGUAGCUCAGUUGGUAGAGCGUUGCGUUACAGCGACUGGUCAGCGGUUCGAGUCCGUUCUUCUCCA